GUUAUGCGAUCUCCAGGAAUACUUUGGGAGGCACUAUUCCGUGAUUUCAAGUGUCACAAACAAAGUAAUGCUCCAUGUAGAAAGCAAGUUUGGCCUUCUCCUAGAUGAACUCACCGUUCAUCAGUGGUUGACGCACGAGAACUUGGAAGCAAUGAGCGAGGCGGUUCAUCGUAAAGGUGCGCCUUUGAAGAAUUGCUGGGCCUUCAUAAACGGAACGGUGCGACCCAUUUGCAGACCGUCACAAGAUCAGCGCAUUUAUUUUUCUGGGCACAAGCGGGUACAUGCCUUAAAGUACCAAUCGUUAAUGUGCCCAAACGGCUUGAUAUGCGAGCUGGAUGGCCCGUACCCCGGGAGCAGGCAUGAUGCUGGUACGUUAUCGAGUGUUCGUAUAUCUAUUAGUAAGUCAAGAUAUGAAUAUAUGUUUACGAUAUGGCAACCCUGUAAAGGUACUAACCAGAUAUUACAAAGAAUUAAGAACGCAGUUAAAGUGUGCAUUGAAAUUUAUAUUGAAGUUCAUAUCGACUUGUGAGCUUUACGGGAAUGGUUUCUGUAUUUUUAUUGGCCCUUAAGCACCACUAGCCAAACUUAUUUGUGUGUGGUCUAAUCGAAGCUCUUCUUUUGACUUAUGUUCCUCGUUAUGUAAAAGAAAAAAAUGUGUGCAACUCAUUUUACCUGUGCUUAACAUGUUUGCAUAGUCGUCUAAUAUGCACAAGGUAAGUUAAUCAGGUACCAGGGUGCAGUACCUAAAUGAAAUAAGUUUGCCUACAUGCAAUACUUUUUUUCUGGGACCUUUUGUUAGUACCAUAUGAUCCCAAUUAUGAAGUGCACAGACCGGUUUUCAGUUGCUUCUCUGGCACACAUCUUGUACUUGUGUUUCAUCGCAAUAAACUUGUUUAUUUCAA
Molecule: long non-coding RNA, 902 nt
Filed under: Dermacentor andersoni
Lineage: Eukaryota; Metazoa; Arthropoda; Arachnida; Ixodida; Ixodidae
Description: uncharacterized LOC126516855
Source: RNAcentral